GGAGUGAACAAAACAUUUUUUUUUUCUCUCUCUCUCUUCUCCCCUCAAACUCACGCCUCUCUCUACUCUCUCUUCUCCCUCACUCUUUUCUCUCACUACCACCAUUGAAGAACACUUCCAAGCUCCAAAAACAACUUCUAUACUUAGAUGUCCAUCAAAAAUCAAGCCUAAACAUCAUUUCCCUUGAUUCAAGAGCAAGUUUGAAGGAGCUUCAAGAUUAGAGACAAGAAAGCUUCUACUUUAUAUUGAGAUAAUUGAGCAAGCCCGAGCGAGACGAAAAAGUAAGUCGCCUGUUUUCUUUACAAGCUUGUCGAAGGACUUCAGGUGGGCAUUAUUUUUAUUAUACGUAUAUAGAGAUCCCCUGCGUGUCGUAGGCUUCUUAUACGAUAUUGAUGUGAAUAAUAUGUUUUAACUGUUCAAUUCCAAUUUAAUGAAAAUUAUCAAUGAUGCAUGAUUGAGUUAAAAUGAUGUUGAAACUAAUUGACUUGCCAAUUUUUUGAAUGAUGAUGAGCUUGUAUACUACCCUCUACUGAUGAGACGAAUUCGGUUCUGCCUCAAGCGGGAUUUGUGCACAGAGGUGACUGUGAGCCGUCUAUCGGGUCGGUCGAUCACGGUACUCGAGAGGGAGGCCUACUUCUCGAUAUCUUUGAUGAUAAAUUGUAGAUGUGGUACUUACAUGUUGAGUAAUUUGAUUGCGCAAUCGUUCAUUUGAAUAAUUAUGAUGCUUAUGUUUGAGAUUCAGCUUUCACAGGUUUAUUUAUACUAAAACCCUUGUGAUUUGCUUAAAAUUGUGGCAAGUUCAAUCUAUAGCUCUAAGAGCAGCUUUAAUUGUUUUUCGGCGUAUGCCCACUGAGUAUUAUGUACUCACGCCCUGCAUGUAUUUCUAAAUGUGCAGGCUAAGCGAUGGAGCGAGAUUGGACUGGUGCUGGCGGGGGAUUGUUUUGUUGAUAAAUUUUCUUUGUUGUUUUCCUUUUCUUGAUAGAGUCCUAACGAUGAUACACUUUGCUUUCCUUUUGAAUGUUGAUAAAACCUUAAUGAUGAGAUACAUUGUUUUCUUUUAAUCAAGCAAUUUACUCGCGAUUAUAUGUCUUCAUACAUAUGAUCGAUUCACCUUUUGCUGCGAGACUCUGAAUUUUAUGAUACCUUAUGAAUAUUGAGCUAUACCUCGUUUGUAUUUGUCUUUGAGAUUCCCGAUAUUUAUGGAGAUAUGACGAUGUUGACGUUUA
Molecule: long non-coding RNA, 1226 nt
Organism: Salvia miltiorrhiza (redroot sage)
Lineage: Eukaryota; Viridiplantae; Streptophyta; Magnoliopsida; Lamiales; Lamiaceae
Exons: 2
Source: RefSeq, a predicted model, not a curated record